Molecule: ribosomal RNA, 461 nt
Filed under: uncultured bacterium
Lineage: Bacteria
Description: partial 16S ribosomal RNA
Rfam family: Bacterial small subunit ribosomal RNA
Source: RNAcentral
CCUACGGGAGGCAGCAGUGAGGAAUAUUGGUCAAUGGGCGCGAGCCUGAACCAGCCAAGUCGCGUGAGGGAGGACGGCCCUACGGGUUGUAAACCUCUUUUGCCGGGGAGCAACGGGCGUCACGUGUGGCGCCACUGAGAGUACCCGGAGAAAAAGCAUCGGCUAACUCCGUGCCAGCAGCCGCGGUAAUACGGAGGAUGCGAGCGUUAUCCGGAUUUAUUGGGUUUAAGGGGUGCGUAGGCGGUUUGAUAAGUUAGAGGUGAAAUACCGGUGCUCAACACCGGAACUGCCUCUAAUACUGUUGAACUAGAGAGUAGUUGCGGUAGGCGGAAUGUAUGGUGUAGCGGUGAAAUGCUUAGAGAUCAUACAGAACACCGAUUGCGAAGGCAGCUUACCAAACUAUAUCUGACGUUGAGGCACGAAAGCGUGGGUAGCAAACAGGAUUAGAUACCCGUGUAGUC